Molecule: ribosomal RNA, 253 nt
Filed under: uncultured bacterium
Lineage: Bacteria
Description: partial 16S ribosomal RNA
Rfam family: Bacterial small subunit ribosomal RNA
Source: RNAcentral
UACGGAGGGUGCAAGCGUUAAUCGGAAUAACUGGGCGUAAAGCGCACGCAGGCGGUCUUUCAAGUCGGAUGUGAAAUCCCCGGGCUUAACCUGGGAACUGCAUUUGAAACUGGGAGACUAGAGUAUUGUAGAGGGGGGUAGAAUUCCACGUGUAGCGGUGAAAUGCGUAGAGAUGUGGAGGAAUACCGAUGGCGAAGGCAGCCCCCUGGACAUAUACUGACGCUCAUGUGCGAAAGCGUGGGGAGCAAACAGG